This is a long non-coding RNA of Oncorhynchus tshawytscha (Chinook salmon), 1076 nucleotides long. The record is from Ensembl. NCBI's taxonomy places the organism in Eukaryota, Metazoa, Chordata, Actinopteri, Salmoniformes, Salmonidae.
GGACGAGCGAGAACCAGUCUAUUAUAGAUACAUUAGAGAGCAGGAGGAGGGAGAACCAAUCUAGUACAGCUUCAUUAGAGAGGAGGAGGAGAGAGAACCAGUCUAGUACAGCUACAUUAGAGAGGAGGAGGAGGAGGGAGAACCAGUCUAGUAUAGCAACAUAAUAGAGGAGGAGGGACAACCAGUCUAGUAGAGCUACAUUAGAGAGGAGGAGGAGGGACAACCAGUCUAGUAUAGAUACAUUAGUGAGGAGGAUGGAGAACCAGUCAUGUACAGCUAUAUUAGAGAGGAGAAGAGAGAACCAGUCUAGUAUAGCUACAUUAGAGAGGAGGAAGAGGGAGAACCAGUCUAGUAUAGCUACAUUAGAGAGGAGGAGGAAGGAGAACCAUUCUAGUACAGCUACAUUAAAGAGGAGGAGGAGGGAGAACCAGUCUAUGAUAGAUACAUUAGAGAGGAGGAGGGAAAACCAGUCUAGUAUAGAUACAUUAGAGAGGAGGAGGAGGGAGAACCAGUCUAGUAUAGCCACAUUAGAGAGGAGGAGGAGGGAAAACCAGUCUAGUAUAGAUAUAUUAGAGAGGAGGAGGGAGAACCUGUAUAGUACAUCUACAUUAAAGAGGAGGACGAGCGAGAACCAGUCUAUUAUAGACACAUUAGAGAGGAGGAGGGAGAACCGAUCCAGUACAGCUACAUUAGAGAGGAGGAGGAGAGAUAACCAGUCUAGUACAGCUACAUUAGAGAGGAGGAGGAGGGAGAACCAGUCUAGUACAGCUACAUUAGAGAGGAGGAGGAGGGAGAACCAGUCUAGCAUAGCUAAAUUAGUGAGGAGGAGGGACAACCAGUCUAGUGUAUAUACAUUAGAGAGGAGGAGGAGGGAGAACCAGUAUAGUACAGCUCCAUUAGAGAGGAGGAUGGAGAACCAGUCUAGUAUAGCUACAUUAGAGAGGAGGAGGAGGGAGAACCAGUCUAGUACAGCUACAUUAGAGAGGAGGAGGAGGGAGAACCAGUCUAGUACAGCUACAUUAGAGAGGAUGAGGGAGAACCAGUCUAGUACAGCUAAAUUAGAGAGGAGGAGGAAG